RNAcentral lists this microRNA precursor (105 nucleotides) under Hordeum vulgare. RNAcentral's name for it is "microRNA MIR1122". It matches the Rfam family "MIR1120/MIR1122 microRNA precursor family". Lineage: Eukaryota; Viridiplantae; Streptophyta; Magnoliopsida; Poales; Poaceae. The record is from RNAcentral.
CAUGUACUCCCUCCGUCCCAAAAUAACUGUCUUAAGUUUAAUAUAAUUUUGUAUUAAAGCUAAUACAAAGUGAAGACAGUUAUUUUGGGACGGAGGGAGUAUUUC